Bufo bufo (common toad) is the source of this 647-nucleotide long non-coding RNA. RefSeq lists it as uncharacterized. Lineage: Eukaryota; Metazoa; Chordata; Amphibia; Anura; Bufonidae. The record is from RefSeq and is a predicted model, not a curated record. The transcript has 3 exons.
UUUUUAGAAAUACGGAAAAUACUGAUAAUAGUGGGAUUGAUUUACGAUUGAAUGAUCAACAUGAAGAAAAUUUAAUUUAUGCAGAGAACUCUGCUGAAUCUGAUAAUGAGUUGGCAAUAUUAUUGGAAGAGCUGAGGCUGAAAUAUGCAUCGGAUGCUUCAGAUAUAGGAUGUUUUCAAUCAAAUCCAUUAUUGAGCAAUAAUUCACAAUACAGAGUUUUCUUGACAGAGCAUACUGAGGACAGAACACAACUAUUUAAUUGGUGCACCUGCACUAAUUGUAUAUUGAUGCCAACAACCGUAGAGUCUAUUUGCUGCAAAGAAAUAGCCAAUGUCGAAAACUACAUAGGCGAUUUUUCUUGUAUAAUUGAACAUGAGUUCUUCAACAUUUUCUGUGAGCGCGAAGAGACUGUUGAUAUUAUUCUAAGAACAAUUGGACAAAUUCAAAAUACACCUCAUGAAAAAGAUGUCAACAGAUUGAAAAGAAAGGCUGCUUAUCGCUCUUUCACCGCCUGGAUACAUGGUUAUUUGGGCAUGGGCAACCGGCGACCGAUUCCUUCAUGUGUCGUGAACAGUGUUCGUCGAUCCUUUCCUGACCCUGAUGAAGACUAUAUGGGUUUCAAAGUACAUCGUGACAGCCCAGCUGAA